Molecule: long non-coding RNA, 475 nt
Organism: Passer domesticus (house sparrow)
Lineage: Eukaryota; Metazoa; Chordata; Aves; Passeriformes; Passeridae
Exons: 3
Source: RefSeq, a predicted model, not a curated record
CAUGUUUAAAUUUUGCAGAGAUUAGCUGUGAGAACAGGAAGGAGUUCUUUCUCUCCCUUCUGUUUGUUUAGCUUUCUGCAAUUGUUUAUUUUUAGGACGAAAAACAUGCCCACGCAGACUUAUCAAGCAAGUUAAAGCAAGGCAGAGGGAGGAAUUUGUCUCGUUAGAAACAUGGAAGCCCCGUCGCAGCCAAAAGUGAGCCGGACUCUCCGUGCUGCAGAGCCACGAGAAACAGCAGUAGGAGCAGCCAUACUCUGUACCGCAGCAUGUGGGAAACAAAUAAGUGGACUGGCCAGAUAAUGAGGGAAGCAACAUCUGUCAGCAGUUUCCCGAGCGCUCUGUGUAACCCAGCACCACCACCUACUGUUUGGGAAGGAAGACUCAGUUCCCCUCGUCCUACACAUUAAAACUCCAGUACCAUGCAGGCAAAGAAAAGCAUUAAUUUAAACAUUUGAAGAUAAGGAGGACAAAGAAA